RNAcentral lists this ribosomal RNA (425 nucleotides) under uncultured bacterium. RNAcentral's name for it is "partial 16S ribosomal RNA". It matches the Rfam family "Bacterial small subunit ribosomal RNA", at positions 354 to 796 of the family's 1533-position model. The record is from RNAcentral.
GUGGGGAAUAUUGCACAAUGGGGGAAACCCUGAUGCAGCGACGCCGCGUGGAGGAAGAAGGUCUUCGGAUUGUAAACUCCUGUUGUUGAGGAAGAUAAUGACGGUACUCAACAAGGAAGUGACGGCUAACUACGUGCCAGCAGCCGCGGUAAAACGUAGGUCACAAGCGUUGUCCGGAAUUACUGGGUGUAAAGGGAGCGCAGGCGGGAAGACAAGUUGGAAGUGAAAUCCAUGGGCUCAACCCAUGAACUGCUUUCAAAACUGUUUUUCUUGAGUAGUGCAGAGGUAGGCGGAAUUCCCGGUGUAGCGGUGGAAUGCGUAGAUAUCGGGAGGAACACCAGUGGCGAAGGCGGCCUACUGGGCACCAACUGACGCUGAGGCUCGAAAGUGUGGGUAGCAAACAGGAUUAGAAACCCGUGUAGUCC